RNAcentral lists this transfer RNA (76 nucleotides) under Clostridium paridis. RNAcentral describes it as "tRNA-Val". It matches the Rfam family "tRNA". Rfam says of the family: Transfer RNA (tRNA) molecules are approximately 80 nucleotides in length. Their secondary structure includes four short double-helical elements and three loops (D, anti-codon, and T loops). The record is from RNAcentral. Lineage: Bacteria; Bacillati; Bacillota; Clostridia; Eubacteriales; Clostridiaceae.
GGGCGCAUAGCUCAGCUGGGAGAGCACCUGCCUUACAAGCAGGGGGUUACAGGUUCGAUCCCUGUUGUGCCCACCA